This 493-nucleotide long non-coding RNA is filed under the name Salvator merianae (Argentine black and white tegu). RNAcentral describes it as "lncRNA (ENSSMRG00000008209.1)". The record is from RNAcentral. Lineage: Eukaryota; Metazoa; Chordata; Lepidosauria; Squamata; Teiidae.
CUGGGAUAAGAGUGUAAAUAAAUGCACUGCUCUUUGCAUUUUCCCUCAGCAAAAGAUGGUGAAGCAAGCCAGGAAAGAAUUCAAAGUGUCAGCUUAUGUGCUCUCAAGAGACCCGUGGCGAAUACACUGGAGAGCAUUGCAGGGGAGAAAUAAUUCCCUGGCACCCGCCCCCCGCUUUCAUCAGGUAGGAAGGAUGGACUGCACCCAAGUUCCUGAGCACAGAAGGCAAUGCCAAUAUUCCAAAUCUGCAUUUCACGUCUACCGGAACCACCCACUCCAUUUGCUCAGGGAAUGUCAUGNAAAGAACUAUCGAGUUCACUGUUCACACUAGCAACUAUUUUGGGGCACUGCUUCAUCAGCUGGAGCAACUUGUUUUCAUAGAUGGCCCUUGUAGAAGCUGAAACAGGUAAAAGGCAAAAGGUUUCAGUAUUGGCUUGUCUUAUUUCUAGGUGUUCUAAAACUGAUAGGGAAACAUGAUUUUACUAAAGUUUUG